Long non-coding RNA from Oreochromis niloticus (Nile tilapia), 521 nucleotides. RefSeq lists it as uncharacterized. Lineage: Eukaryota; Metazoa; Chordata; Actinopteri; Cichliformes; Cichlidae. The record is from RefSeq and is a predicted model, not a curated record. The transcript is spliced from 2 exons.
AACAAACAGAAUUCCAAAGGCUUUCUCUCUUUUCUGCUACAUAAAUGCUUUUAGUCCAACCAAGCGGCAACAAACAGCUGAAGGCUGAAGGGAGUGCGGAAAUGUUUAAUGAUACAGCUCAUUUUGACAUCAAGCACAUGCAACGGGUAUACCCGCAACUUCCUUUUUAAAAAAAUAGCAUCCUUUUUCUCAGCCCACAUCAUUUAAUGAGCUCAGUGGCUAAAGUGAACAUUAACUGAGUCGUUUUUCCAGUGUAAGAGUUACAUCUAAAUAGCUAGUGCAGAGUAUUUUUUCCUUUGAUGUGACCGGACGUGCGUUACAGUUCAUUCGUCUUCUUCAGGAGAAUAAAGCGUUCACCUUCCCGUAUGCAAACCUGCCGUCCGUCUGCUCCACGGUAGCUGUAGUCAUACUGGGCCUCGAGGACCACCGUACCACUGGGGACUCCACACACCGUCAUCCCCCUGGUGUUCACUACAGAUCCUGCAGCAGGCUGCUGAUGACCGAAAGAGCGCCGCCAAGAA